Molecule: ribosomal RNA, 278 nt
Filed under: Glomeromycota sp.
Lineage: Eukaryota; Fungi; Glomeromycota
Description: partial small subunit ribosomal RNA
Rfam family: Eukaryotic small subunit ribosomal RNA
Source: RNAcentral
AGCAGCCGCGGUAAUUCCAGCUCCAAUAGCGUAUAUUAAAGUUGUUGCAGUUAAAAAGCUCGUAGUUGAAUUUCGGGAUUUGUCAGUUGGUCGGGCUUCACUGUCCGUAUUGACUUGAUGGAUUCUUACCUUCUGAAUAACCAGCAUGCUAUUAAGUUAGUGCGUUGGGGAAGCAGAUCUAUUACCUUGAAAAAAUUAGAGUGCUUAAAGCGAGCUAGUGCUUGAAUAGAUUAGCAUGGAAUAAUAAAAUAGGACGGCAUGGUUCUAUUUUGUUGGUU